GAUGAACGCUGGCGGCGUGCCUAAUACAUGCAAGUCGAGCGAACAGACGAGGAGCUUGCUCCUCUGACGUUAGCGGCGGACGGGUGAGUAACACGUGGAUAACCUACCUCUAAGACUGGGAUAACUUCGGGAAACCGGAGCUACUACCGGAUAAUAUAUUGAACCGCAUGGUUCAAUAGUGAAGGACGGUUUUGCUGUCACUUAUAGAUGGAUCCGCCCCGCAUAGCUAGUUGGUAAGGUAACGGCUUAACAAAGCAACGAGGCGUAGCCGACCUGAGAGGGUGAUCGGCCACACUGGAACUGAGACACGGUCCAGACUCCUACGGGAGGCAGCAGUAGGGAAUCUUACGCAAUGGGCGAAAGCCUGACGGAGCAACGCCGCGUGAGUGAUGAAGGUCUUCGGAUCGUAAAACUCUGUUAUUAGGGAAGAACAAAUGUGUAAGUAACUAUGCACGUCUUGACGGUACCUAAUCAGAAAGCCACGGCUAACUACGUG
This 496-nucleotide ribosomal RNA is filed under the name uncultured bacterium. Its description in RNAcentral is "partial 16S ribosomal RNA". It matches the Rfam family "Bacterial small subunit ribosomal RNA", at positions 28 to 507 of the family's 1533-position model. The record is from RNAcentral.